CAGACCUAGGGGGUCUCUGUCCAGAAAAUCUGCCCCUACCAAAUCUUCCACCUCAACCCCUGCUGGGUCCACUAAAUUUAUUCUUUUUCCUAGAAGUACCACCAGAACUCUGUUUAACUGAUUUUUCCCCUUUGUCUUUCUCUGAUCUUUUAACUUUUUCUGAUUUUUCUUUUAUUAGGGUCGCUUCUGAUUCAAUCCUUUCUAACUCGAGUGCUUGAGACAUGAGUUCUGAAAAGUUGCUGUGUCUGAAUCCUACUACUUGCAUUCUCAAAUUGGGCUUCAAACCAGUCUCAAAUCUCUUGCAUCUUGCC
RNAcentral lists this unclassified non-coding RNA (311 nucleotides) under Hevea brasiliensis (rubber tree). Lineage: Eukaryota; Viridiplantae; Streptophyta; Magnoliopsida; Malpighiales; Euphorbiaceae. The record is from RNAcentral.